UACGAAGGGGGCUAGCGUUGCUCGGAAUCACUGGGCGUAAAGCGCACGUAGGCGGCUUUCUAAGUCAGGGGUGAAAUCCUGGAGCUCAACUCCAGAACUGCCUUUGAUACUGGGAAGCUCGAGUCCGGAAGAGGUGAGUGGAACUCUGAGUGUAGAGGUGAAAUUCGUAGAUAUUCGGAAGAACACCAGUGGCGAAGGCGGCUCACUGGUCCGGUACUGACGCUGAGGUGCGAAAGCGUGGGGAGCAAACAGG
This 253-nucleotide ribosomal RNA is filed under the name uncultured bacterium. RNAcentral's name for it is "partial 16S ribosomal RNA". It matches the Rfam family "Bacterial small subunit ribosomal RNA", at positions 524 to 776 of the family's 1533-position model. The record is from RNAcentral.